RNAcentral lists this transfer RNA (68 nucleotides) under Suhpalacsa longialata. Its description in RNAcentral is "tRNA-Arg". Lineage: Eukaryota; Metazoa; Arthropoda; Insecta; Neuroptera; Myrmeleontidae. The record is from RNAcentral. RNAcentral also lists the same sequence under 1 other name.
AAGCUUGAAGCGAAAAUCGCAAUUAGUUUCGACCUAAUAAUUUGGUGGCAUGAAUUCAUCCAAGCUUA